GCCCCCGUCGGCUAGUUUGGAUAGGCUACAAGGCUGCGGACCUUGAGACUGGGGUUCAAAUCCCCACGGGGGCG
This is a non-coding RNA of Euryarchaeota archaeon RBG_19FT_COMBO_69_17, 74 nucleotides long. The record is from Rfam. Lineage: Archaea; Methanobacteriati; Methanobacteriota.